RNAcentral lists this ribosomal RNA (684 nucleotides) under uncultured bacterium. Its description in RNAcentral is "bacterial SSU rRNA". It matches the Rfam family "Bacterial small subunit ribosomal RNA", at positions 72 to 749 of the family's 1533-position model. The record is from RNAcentral.
AGGAGAGCUUGCUCUCUGGGUGACGAGCGGCGGACGGGUGAGUAAUGUCUGGGAAACUGCCUGAUGGAGGGGGAUAACUACUGGAAACGGUAGCUAAUACCGCAUGACCUCGCAAGAGCAAAGUGGGGGACCUUCGGGCCUCACGCCAUCGGAUGUGCCCAGAUGGGAUUAGCUAGUAGGUGGGGUAAUGGCUCACCUAGGCGACGAUCCCUAGCUGGUCUGAGAGGAUGACCAGCCACACUGGAACUGAGACACGGUCCAGACUCCUACGGGAGGCAGCAGUGGGGAAUAUUGCACAAUGGGCGCAAGCCUGAUGCAGCCAUGCCGCGUGUGUGAAGAAGGCCUUAGGGUUGUAAAGCACUUUCAGCGAGGAGGAAGGGUUGAGUGUUAAUAGCACUGAACAUUGACGUUACUCGCAGAAGAAGCACCGGCUAACUCCGUGCCAGCAGCCGCGGUAAUACGGAAGGUGCGAGCGUUAAUCGGAAUUACUGGGCGUAAAGCGCACGCAGGCGGUUUGUUAAGUCAGAUGUGAAAUCCCCGAGCUUAACUUGGGAACUGCAUUUGAAACGGGCAAGCUAGAGUCUUGUAGAGGGGGGUAGAAUUCCAGGUGUAGCGGUGAAAUGCGUAGAGAUCUGGAGGAAUACCGGUGGCGAAGGCGGCCCCCUGGACAAAGACUGACGCUCA